AAGUUUAAAGGGCGUAUGGUGGAUGCCUUGACACCAAAGGGCGAUGAAGGACGCGGCGUGACUGCGAUAAGCUUCGGGGAGCCGUCAAGCAGGCUUUGAUCCGGAGAUCUCCGAAUGGGGCAACCCAGUACGGCAAAACCGUACUACGUGUUUUUUCAACACGGGCUAACCCGCUGAAGUGAAACAUCUCAGUAAGCGGAGGAAAAGAAAAAAACUAUCCAAUACUUCGCAUUGGAAAUAUCUAUGGGUAUUAAAAAUUGGUAAUUCUAGUGCGGUAGCGUUGGUUUGAUUCCCUUAGUAGCGGCGAGCGAAAAGGGAGGAGCCUAAACUCCGAUUUUUAAUCGGAGGGUUGUAAGUUAGAUACGCUGCCAGAGUAAUCUGGCACAGAGUUCAUCAAAUGUAAUUUGUUUAGCAGAAUGGUCCUGGAAAGGCCAACCAAAGAGGGUAAUAGUCCCGUACGCGAAAAACAUUACAUACUCUGAGUAUCUAUCCCGAUAAAAUCGGGACCUCGACCUCAUUACUUUGGCGUUUGUCAGAGUGAUGAAUCGGGGAACUUGAGUACUUCGAGACACGACAGGCUCGGAGGAAGCAGGGAGAACUAACUCCCAAGGCUAAAUACCUUUGGUGAUCGAUAGUGAACUAGUACCGUGAGGGAAAGGUGAAAAGCAGCCCGGUGAGGGCGGUGAAAUAGUACCUGAAACCAUAUGCCUACAAGGACUCGGAACACCUCCGCUGACGCUCAGUGCUUCUAAAUUUUAAUUUAUGAUUUGGGAGUAUUGAGCGUUAGCGAGGUGCGACGGGAUGCCUAUUGAAGAAUGAGCCAACGAGUUAAUGUAUGCUGCUUAUCUAAUCCGCUGAGUGCGGAGGAGAUAGAGGGAAACCGAGUGUUAAAAGCGCGAAAUAUAAUAUGAUGCCAAUAUGCGAAUGUAAUGCCAAUGAUGCGAAUUGCCAAUAGGCAAUUUGUUGAUCGGCAUAUCUUUCGUAGAUUUGCAUCAUGUUAUCUGUAGCAUGCAUUAGACCCGAAACCAGAUGAUCUUACCAUGGACAGGUUGAACCUCGAUGAAAGUCGGGGGGAGGACCGAACCGGUUGGCCGUGCAAUACCAUCGGAUGAUCUGUGGUAAGGAGUGAAAAGCUAAUCGAAUCUGGUAAUAGCUGGUUCUCUCCGAAAUAGCUUUUGGGCUAGCGUCCAAUCACAACACUGGAGGUAGAGCUACUGGAAGGUAUGAAUAGGGAGAAAUCUCGUCAUACCUACCAAACUCCGAAUGCCAGUGUCUGUCUUUUAUUUUUUAAAUAAAAGAUAAGGAUUGGGCAGUUAGACUGUGGGGGCGAAGCUCCACCAGUCAAAAGGGGAACAGCCCUUGACCUCCAUCUAAGGCCCCUAAAUUUCUCCGGCCUAAAACCGGAGCGUUGAUUUCUUAUCUUUGAUAAGAAAUUAGCGUUGCUAAGUGUAUCUUGAGGAGGUGAAAUUUCUCAGACAGCGAGGAUGUUGGCUUAGAAGCAGCCAUCAUUUAAAAAGUGCGUAAUAGCUUACUCGUCUAGAGAUUUCGCGCCGUAAAUAAUCGGGACUAAGCAAAAUGCCGAAGAUGAGGAUAUCAAUGCUUUGCAUUGGUAUGGUAGGAGAGUGUUUACAUCAGCUGAGAAGGUCUAGGCGUGAGCCGGACUGGAGCGAUGUAAAGUAAGAAUGUUGGCACAAGUAACCGCAAUCCGUCUGAAAGCGACGGACGCCGAAAGCUCAAGGUUUCCUGGGCAAUGGUGAUCAGCUCAGGGUUAGUCGGGCCUAAGGUAAUGGCGAAAGCCGGAGCCGAUGGACAUACGGUUAAUAUUCCGUAACUCCGCUAAAAUUUGAUGGAGUGACGGAGGAGAUAAGCGGGGGCGCAUUACUGGAUUUGCGUUCUCUGUGGUAGAGAUGUUCUCUAGGCAAAUCCGGAGAACUGAUUAAAUUCAAAUCUCAAAACAGAGAAAAUUUUUCCUCUUCUGGGGUAAAAAAUUUCCGCGAAGAGCCUUCCAAGAAAAACUUCUAAAUCCGCCCUUGGCGGAAAGUUUUAGCGGACCCGUACCGCAAACCGACACAGGUGAGCAGGUCGAGAAGACCAAGGCGAACGGGUGAGUGUUCCCCAAGGAACUCGGCAAAAAAGCGGCCGUAACUUCGGGAUAAGGCCUGCCUCAUAGAGGCUGGAAGAAGGGAGUUUGUGGGGGCAUAAGUAAGCUCAUAAACAUAAGGUGACCCCUGUUUAUGGGUUGGCUUACAAAGACAGGUUCAAGUCCUGUCGCCUCCACCACAAAUUUCUUUUUGUACUUUUAAAAACGGGGAGGCCCAGUAGGGGUCUCUGUGACGCUAAACAGGCGUAAAAAGAGAUGGCGACUCAUAAUCGCCCCUCCCUGCCAACCUAAUCCAUUUAGGGUUAGGUCCUUUCUUCCAGUUUCUAUGAGGCCGCAGCGAAAGUUUCUCUGGCGACUGUUUAUCAAAAACACAGCUCCCUGCGAACUCGUAAGAGGAUGUAUAGGGGGUGACGCCUGACCAAUGCGAAAAGGUUAAAAAACGCUGGUAGUUUUCUGCCUCUGGCAGAGAGCCGCUGGUGUUUUAAGCCCUCGUGAAUGUCGGCGAUAACUAUAAUCGUCCUAAGGUUUUCCGUUUAAUCUUAAAAUGGUUAAACGGAAAAGGAUUGGGACGAUUAUAGAUGCUGUGUUUUUAUGUGGUAGCUGCCCAUUUCGUUUUUACGAAAUGUCCUUAAAAUCUAGCCAUAUGCUGGAAAAUCUGUGGAUAAAAUCCUGUAGAAUCUGGCAUUACUAUGGUAUAAUUAUUCCAUAGUAAAAAUAUGACCAGUGCAGAUAACCAGCAGGAAAGACUAAAAACUGAGGGGUGGAUUGUCGGUUUUACCGACGGCGAAGGAUGUUUUUCUGUUAGCUUUAUAAAAAAUAAGACAGUAAAAAGUAGAUGGCAAAUAUUUCCUGAGUUUGUGAUAACACAGGGAGAAAAAAGUUUAUCAGCCCUUAAAUUAUUCCAAAAAUAUUUUGGGUGCGGAAAGAUAUUCAUUAAUAAAAGAUACGACAACCACCGUAAAAAUUUAUAUCGUUUCUGCGUUCGUUCUAUUAGAGAUUUGCAAGACAAGAUAAUACCAUUUUUUGAGAAGAAUAGAUUGCAGACUAAAAAAGAGAUAGAUUUUAAAAUCUUCUCAAAGAUCGUGAGUGAGAUAAGAAAAAAGAAGCAUUUAUCAAAAAAUGGUGCUAUUAAAAUCGCAAGAAUGAUUGAAAGAAUGAACACGCAGAAAAAAUCUCGGUUUUUAGAAUCCUCAGAGACUAUAAGCUAGAUCCGCCCACUGGCGGAAAGAUAUAGUCCGAACUUAUUGGCGACAAUAAGAUUAACACAAUUGAGCGAAAUUCCUUGUCAGGUAAGUUCUGACGCGCACGAAUGGCGUAACGACUGGAGAACUGUCUCGGGGAACAGCCCGGUGAAAAUACAAUGGGGGUGAAGAUGCCCUCUACCUGCAGCUAGACGGAAAGACCCCGGAAGCUUUACUGCAGCUUGAUAUUGGCUUUAGUUUAUCCAUGCGUAGCAUAGGCGGGAGACUAUGAAGGUCCGUUCUCGGACGGACUGGAGUCGCCAGUGAAAUACCGCUCUUGGAUGAAUUAAAAUCUAACCUUUUCUGCAAAACAGGAUUGGGACAGUAUCUGGCGGGCAGUUUGUUUGGGGCGAAUCCCUCCUAAAAGGUAACGGAGGGGUCUAUAAGGUCGGCUAUCCGCCGAUGGAAACGGCGGAGAUAGUGUAAUGGCACAAGCCGGCUUGACUGCGAGACGGGCAUGUCGAGCAGGUGCGAAAGCAGAGCAUAGUGAACCGACCACCCGCAUUAGAGGCGGUGGAAGAUUAACGGAUAAAAGCUACUCCGGGGAUAACAGGCUAGUCCUGCCCAAGAGUUCACAUCGACGGCAGGGUUCGGCACCUCGAUGUCGGCUCAUCCUAUCCUGGGGCUGGAGAAGGUCCCAAGGGUUUGGCUGUUCGCCAAUUAAAAGGAUACGCGAGCUGGGUUCAAACCGUUGAGCUCACAAAAUAUAAAAUUUUGUGACUUCAAUAGUUUGAACCCGAGGUAAAGACAUCAAAACACGGCGGCAUUCCGUAGUAAUACGGAAUUGACAAUCGGCUAUAUCGGUGGAAACCUGACAUUGAAUAAUAACCUGUCAUAUGUUAGGAAAAUACCGAGGGAAGUCGAAUAUGAUUUCGUCGCAGUAAAAAGCAUAUCUUGUAGGAUUUUUUGACAGAGAUGGAAGUAUAUAUGUGCGUGCGGAACCGAACAUUUGAAUUAUUCAAAAAGACGAAAAAACAUAUUUUGACCCCGUAGAGACUACACGCCGACACCCACUUAAAUUUAUGGGUGAAGAUAUAGUCCAAACACAAAAAUGUGUUGCGUGAGACAGGUUGGUCCCCUAUCUGCUGCAGGCGCUAAGUUUCUGAGGAGAGUCGUCCUCUGUACGAGAGGAUCAGGACGAACUAACCUCUGGUGUACCAGUUGUCCCGCCAGGGGCACUGCUGGGUAGCUAUGUUGGGAAGGGAUAAUCGCUGAAAGCAUCUAAGCGAGAAGCCCACUCCAAGAUUAGAAACUUUCCGGGUUAAACCGGAUGGGUCCGGUCGGAGAUGACGACCUUGAUAGGCUCUAGGUGUAAGUCCAGCAAUGGAUUGAGCCGAGGAGUACUAAUGGACC
This 4695-nucleotide ribosomal RNA is filed under the name bacterium. RNAcentral's name for it is "23S ribosomal RNA". It matches the Rfam family "Bacterial large subunit ribosomal RNA". The record is from RNAcentral.